GAUGAACGCUGGCGGCGUGCCUAAUACAUGCAAGUAGAACGCUGAAGCUUGGUGCUUGCUCCGAGCGGAUGAGUUGCGAACGGGUGAGUAACGCGUAGGUAACCUGCCUCUUAGCGGGGGAUAACUAUUGGAAACGAUAGCUAAUACCGCAUAAAAGUCGAUAUCGCAUGAUAUUGAUUUGAAAGGUGCAAAUGCAUCACUAAGAGAUGGACCUGCGUUGUAUUAGCUAGUUGGUGAGGUAACGGCUCACCAAGGCGACGAUACAUAGCCGACCUGAGAGGGUGAUCGGCCACACUAGGACUGGGACACGGCCCAGACUCCUACGGGAGGGAGCAGUAGGGAUUCUUCGGCAAAGGGGGCAACCCUGACCGAGCAACGCCGCGGUAGUGAAGAAGGGUUUCGGAUCGUAAAGCUCUGUUGUAAGAGAAGAGCGAGUGUGGGAGUGGAAAGUUCACACUGUGACGGUAACUUACCAGAAAGGGACGGCUAACUACGUG
This 497-nucleotide ribosomal RNA is filed under the name uncultured bacterium. RNAcentral's name for it is "partial 16S ribosomal RNA". It matches the Rfam family "Bacterial small subunit ribosomal RNA", at positions 28 to 507 of the family's 1533-position model. The record is from RNAcentral.